RNAcentral lists this ribosomal RNA (253 nucleotides) under uncultured bacterium. RNAcentral's name for it is "partial 16S ribosomal RNA". It matches the Rfam family "Bacterial small subunit ribosomal RNA", at positions 524 to 776 of the family's 1533-position model. The record is from RNAcentral.
UACGUAGGAUGCAAGCGUUGUCCGGAUUUAUAGGGUUUAAAAGGUGCGUGGGCGGCCUAUUAAGUUAGUGGUGAAAACGUUCGGCUUAACCGGAUACCCGCCAUUGAUACUGAUAGACUUGAGUGCGACAGAGGGUGUUGGAAUGUGUGGUGUAGCGGUGAAAUGCUUAGAUAUCACGCAGAACACCAAUUGCGAAGGCAGAUGCCUAUGUCGUAACUGACGCUGAGGCACGAAAGCGUGGGGAGCAAACAGG